Molecule: ribosomal RNA, 499 nt
Filed under: uncultured bacterium
Lineage: Bacteria
Description: bacterial SSU rRNA
Rfam family: Bacterial small subunit ribosomal RNA
Source: RNAcentral
GAUGAACGCUAGCGGCAGGCUUAAUACAUGCAAGUCGAGGGGCAUCAAGGUACACGAAAGUGUAUUGUUGGCGACCGGCGGACGGGUGAGUAAUAGGUAGGUAACCUACCUCAUACUGAGGCAUAGCUGGGAGAAAUUCCAGGUAAUUCCUCAUGAGGUUAUAUGACACAUGUGAUAUAAUCAAAGGUAUCGCAAGGUACUGGUAUGAGAUGGGCUUACUGACCAUUAGCUAGUUGGUGAGAUAAGAGCUCACCAAGGCGAAGAUGGUUAGGGGUUUUGAGAGAGAGAUCCCCCACAUUGGAACUGAGAUACGGUCCAGACUCCUACGGGAGGCAGCAGUAGGGAAUAUUGGGCAAUGGGCGAAGCCUGACCCAGCCAUGCCGCGUGAAGGAAGACGGCCUUAUGGGUUGUAAAACUUCUUUUACUAUGACGUACUAACGUUAGAUUUACGAGUACUAAAUUCGUAAGUAGAAUUAGUAAAGCAACGUACGACAAAACG